AUUCCACUUAAAUUUUACGUCGGUUUCUGUGAAUUUGUGCUGUGUCUGUUUUUCAAGAAAGAAGAGGACGUAAUAAACAUAAUAGAUUAAAAAUAAUAAUGUGUUUUUGCAUGAAUUUUACGAAGUAUUCAUUUUAGUUUCAGUUGGAUCCGUUUGAUUUUUUUCCGCCUGUGCGUGGUGGGAGUGUUUCCUAACGAAGGUGCCGCUAAGGUUGACUUCGACAAAUUUCUGCUAUGGUCGAAGUGAUUUUUCUUCAGAUAGAGUUUUUUUUCGCGAUUAAGACACGAACCAUCCCAAAGGUGAAGCAUUGGCCGCCAUACACGGAAUGCAAAUCAGCUAGCACGUCGAAACCAGAGGCAGUGUAGGGAUCCAAAGCACUCUUCAAAGCUUUGUCGUGGGUACUUGGACGAUCUCGAGAUGAAAGAAAAACUGAUAAACAUGCCAUGGCCAGCUCAAUCCCCAGACUUGAAUCCAAUCGAGUUGCUUUGGGAUGAUCUGGACCCUCAAGUGAAGAAGAACCAUUUGUGGGAGUGCUUACCAAAGGCUUGGGAAAAUAUUGCAGAAGAAAUCCUCGAAAAACUUAUUCGGCGUAUGCCCAGAGUCUGCAAAGCAGUAAUUGAAUCAAAUGGGGGGUAUUUCGAGGAAUCUAAUAUUUAAUUUUUGAUUUAACAAUGCAAAUCAAAAUAUUAUAAAUAAAUCAUUAAAAAGAAAUUAAAAACCUAAUAAUCGAAAUUGCAUAAUUUAUUUUCAGAAUGUUCACUGAGUUACUCAAUAUCGCAACUUUUUAAACAGAGUUUAAGAUGGAGUAAGUUGAAAACACUAAAAUCUUUAUGCACAUUAGCAGCACAUUGAAGAAAAAUUCCGAACUAAACUAUUAGCCAACCAGAAAUUUUUGAUUUUCUGUGCAACUUUGCUGAAAAUCGCAACUCUCUAAAUGGUGAAUUUAUUGAGCUAAGUAAUUUUCAAAACACUCGAAACUACUUGCACACCAACGCUGCGUUGCGGCUGAAUUCUGCACUAUACUGUCCAUCAAAUAGAAGCCCUUGACCUCCUGAGUAACUUUGCUAAAGACCACAACUCUCUAGGUUUCCAGAAUAAAGAGAUAGAGUUACAUAAAUCUGCCCGUUUUAAGUGAUGUUAAACUUUUCAAAGCGUUGCAAUACUCAGUAAAGCGAUUCCAAACUUAUGACGGGUAGUGUAUAUGAAGCAAUUUAACGUGUCAUAUUAAAUUGUAAAAUGCGUCAUUUCUUUAAGUCGUAUAAAAUGUAAAUUAAAGUUUCAAAUGAGGCCAUUUAGAAUAGCCUGCGACGUUAUACAAAAUCGUACCAAUUUUUUUUUUAUAAUGUACCUAUAUGGCCUCCAGAUUUGUACAUAUAGACGCAUUUCAUGCAUCCUUUAUGGUAAUUUUUUUCCAAAUAAGGGUUCACUUAACAGGUUUGAGCGCGAGUUAUAUGAACCAAUUUGUUUGCUGGGAUCUGGGAGUAUCUAUUUAUUUAUUCAUUUUGUCAAUCAGAAGUAGACAAUAUACAAUCUAAUAAAUAAAAAUC
Molecule: long non-coding RNA, 1547 nt
Organism: Wyeomyia smithii (pitcher-plant mosquito)
Lineage: Eukaryota; Metazoa; Arthropoda; Insecta; Diptera; Culicidae
Exons: 3
Source: RefSeq, a predicted model, not a curated record